Molecule: ribosomal RNA, 274 nt
Filed under: uncultured bacterium
Lineage: Bacteria
Description: partial 16S ribosomal RNA
Rfam family: Bacterial small subunit ribosomal RNA
Source: RNAcentral
AUACGGAGGGUGCAAGCGUUAAUCGGAAUUACUGGGCGUAAAGCGUACGUAGGCGGUCCGUUAAGUUAGAUGUGAAAGCCCCGGGCUUAACCUGGGAACUGCAUUUAAAACUGGCGGACUAGAGUUGAGUAGAGGGGAGUGGAAUUUCAGGUGUAGCGGUGAAAUGCGUAGAGAUCUGAAGGAACACCAGUGUCGAAGGCGACUCCCUGGACUCGAACUGACGCUGAGGUACGAAAGCGUGGGUAGCAAACGGGAUUAGAAACCCCAGUAGUCC